CGCUGACGCAGCUGGCUGGCCUCCUGCUCCUGGUCUCCCGGAGGCUCCCUGCCCUCAGCAAUAGAAGUGCCCUGGUCUUUGCCAGAACCAAACAGUGGUCACAGCCAGGACCUGCACCAGGGGUCUUGAAUCACCUUGUCCGGUUCCCAGAUGCCCCUCCUGCUCUCUGAAUGGAGCCCACCCUCAACAAGCACUCCGGCAGGACCAGGUGCCAUGAAGACACUGCCACUUGGAAUCUGAUAAGCAACAUUUGGUACCAAGCCCAGAUCAGCUUUUCAUCACCCUAGACAAGAGAUGUGCUUGGGACUCUGCAGUCUCCCCUGAAGCCCUCAGGCAGGAGUGUUUGGUGUCUCAGCCUGAAAGGAGCAGUAAUGGUAGGAUUGAAGGCACACAGCAAUCCAGGAAGAAGGCAAUGCUGUACCUGGUGUUUCUGUGGGAAAGACCUUCACACUGACAUUUUGAUUUGAUCGUGAAUGUUGAUGAACACCAGGCCUACUUAUGCACAAGAGCUUCUGACCUGAGAUCAGAGCAGGAAACAGAAUUUUAAAGAAAUGUCUCAAGAGUCAUAGAAGGCAGGAGCCAAGAAGUGAUCACUAUUGACCUCAAGCUCAAAGAUCCAUGGGAAGUAGCAAAACUCAACAGUGGUGAAUCCCUGGGUCCUUGGUCAAAGGUCCUGAGGUGUUGAGGUCAAAUCAGAAGAGAAAAUGCAAAUUUGUCCAUGUGAGAAAUUUAUUUCAAAAAGGCAGAUCCAAAAAUUUGACUUGGCAAAGUGUGGUGGGUUUUGUAAAUAAAAAUAAAUGGUUAUAAAGAGGAGCUGACUGU
This 822-nucleotide long non-coding RNA is filed under the name Piliocolobus tephrosceles (Ugandan red Colobus). RNAcentral describes it as "lncRNA (ENSPTEG00000018316.1)". The record is from RNAcentral. Lineage: Eukaryota; Metazoa; Chordata; Mammalia; Primates; Cercopithecidae.